Molecule: long non-coding RNA, 922 nt
Organism: Octopus sinensis (East Asian common octopus)
Lineage: Eukaryota; Metazoa; Mollusca; Cephalopoda; Octopoda; Octopodidae
Exons: 3
Source: RefSeq, a predicted model, not a curated record
UGCUGUUGCGGAACUACACACAUCGAAGCACUGCUUUAACAUCAUAUAAUAGUCCGUGUGCCAAAUUAAUCCGGCUGCCCACUUACAUUUUUGACCAAAGGGUCAGUUACGGAAUCAAAUAUUUUCACUCUGAAAUAUUUUUCAACGCAGUAAAGAAAUCUGCUCCGGUGUUGGGGUUUGAGUUCGGCCCCUGAACCACUUAUUUAUGCUACUGUUGUGUAUGUGUAGCGAAUGACUACAUAAUGUAUCAGUGAUGUAGUGAGUCCCGUGCCAGAACCUCCCGGACUUUAUUUACCUCCUUGGUAGAAACAUACAUACACAGCUCUGUGUGUAUGUAUGUUUCUACCAAGGAGUCUUACCGCCUCAACCUCCACCACUUCUACCACAACCACCACCACGGCUCGCUGAUGGAUUCCCUUGGAACAUCGACCCCCUUUUUCUUUUUUGACCUGUUUUGGUCUCUUUAUCUGACCCCUUACCUCUGGCUAUUUUACACGGGAUUACCAGCAGGCGCCGGCCAUGGGCAAUGCAGCGACGGCAAAGAAAGAGGAUCCAGCCGAAAACGGGCUAGAAAAUACUUCUUGCCUGAACUGUUCUUUAUGAAUGUGGAUUUUACCAAACAAGUAACUCAGUGCUAUUAUUCACAAGCCAAGUCCAUAUUGAGAAGUGGUUGAUCAUAGAAAAGGCAUCCAACCACAGAAACCGUGACAAAAAUGGGAUGUAUGAUGAAGGUAAGCUUUACAAGCUGCAUUGUGGGUUACCUGUUUAGAAGGGCAAUGACUCCAAUUAAGAACUGGUACAGGUAGUUGUCGGAGCACUGCAUCCUUCAAAACUUCCAUGCUUCCUGAGAUUCGCCAACACUACACCUGAUUUUCUCUCCUCCAUACACACGCAAGCAUGUAUCUGACUCAUACACUGUUCA